This 440-nucleotide ribosomal RNA is filed under the name uncultured soil bacterium. RNAcentral's name for it is "bacterial SSU rRNA". It matches the Rfam family "Bacterial small subunit ribosomal RNA", at positions 26 to 451 of the family's 1533-position model. The record is from RNAcentral.
AGAGUGAACGCUGGCGGUAGGCCUAACACAUGCAAGUCGAACGGCAGCACAGUGGUAGCAAUACCAUGGGUGGCGAGUGGCGGACGGGUGAGUAAUGCCUAGGAAUCUGCCUGAUAGUGGGGGAUAACGUUCGGAAACGGACGCUAAUACCGCAUACGUCCUACGGGAGAAAGUGGGGGAUCUUCGGACCUCACGCUAUCAGAUGAGCCUAGGUCGGAUUAGCUAGUUGGUAGGGUAAAGCCUACCAAGGCUACGAUCCGUAACUGGUCUGAGAGGAUGAUCAGUCACACUGGAACUGAGACACGGUCCAGACCUACCUACGGGAGCAGCAGGUGGGAAUAUGGAACAAGUGGGACGAAAGCCUAGAUCCAGCCAUCGGCCGCGGUGUGGUGAAGAAGGUUCCUUCGGAUUAGUAAAGCUAGUUUUAAGGUGGGAGAAGG